RNAcentral lists this ribosomal RNA (460 nucleotides) under uncultured bacterium. RNAcentral's name for it is "partial 16S ribosomal RNA". It matches the Rfam family "Bacterial small subunit ribosomal RNA", at positions 28 to 507 of the family's 1533-position model. The record is from RNAcentral.
GACGAACGCUGGCGGCGUGCUUAACACAUGCAGGUCGAGCGGUAAGGCCUCUUCGGGGGUACACGAGCGGCGAACGGGUGAGUAACACGUGGGUGACCUGCCCUCAGCUCUGGGAUAAGCCUGGGAAACUGGGUCUAAUACCGGAUAUGACCUUUCCUCGCAUGGGGUUUGGUGGAAAGUUUUUUCGGCUGGGGAUGGGCCCGCGGCCUAUCAGCUUGUUGGUGGGGUGAUGGCCUACCAAGGCGACGACGGGUAGCCGGCCUGAGAGGGCGACCGGCCACACUGGGACUGAGACACGGCCCAGACUCCUACGGGAGGCAGCAGUGGGGAAGAUUGCGCAAUGGGCGGAAGCCUGACGCAGCGACGCCGCGUGGGGGAUGACGGCCUUCGGGUUGUAAACCUCUUUCGACCCCGACGAAUUUGGACGGUAGGGGUAGAAGAAGCACCGGCCAACUACGUG